Molecule: ribosomal RNA, 160 nt
Filed under: Takakia lepidozioides
Lineage: Eukaryota; Viridiplantae; Streptophyta; Takakiopsida; Takakiales; Takakiaceae
Description: 5.8S ribosomal RNA
Rfam family: 5.8S ribosomal RNA
About the family: 5.8S ribosomal RNA (5.8S rRNA) is a component of the large subunit of the eukaryotic ribosome.
Source: RNAcentral
AAAACAACUCUCAGCAACGGAUAUCUUGGCUCUUGCAACGAUGAAGAACGCAGCGAAAUGCGAUACGUAGUGUGAAUUGCAGAAUUCCGCGAAUCAUCGAGUCUUUGAACGCAAGUUGCGCCCGAGGCUUGACCAAGGGCAUCUCUGUCAGAGCGUCACC